This 253-nucleotide ribosomal RNA is filed under the name uncultured bacterium. Its description in RNAcentral is "partial 16S ribosomal RNA". It matches the Rfam family "Bacterial small subunit ribosomal RNA", at positions 524 to 776 of the family's 1533-position model. The record is from RNAcentral.
UACGUAGGGUGCAAGCGUUGUCCGGAAUUAUUGGGCGUAAAGAGCUUGUAGGCGGUUUGUCGCGUCUGCUGUGAAAUUUCGGGGCUCAACCCCGAACUUGCAGUGGGUACGGGCAGACUAGAGUGUGGCAGGGGAGACUGGAAUUCCUGGUGUAGCGGUGAAAUGCGCAGAUAUCAGGAGGAACACCGAUGGCGAAGGCAGGUCUCUGGGCCACUACUGACGCUGAGAAGCGAAAGCAUGGGGAGCGAACAGG